CCAAACAGACGCUACGUAGUGCGGUAAAAUUUGUAACUGUUCCAGCGGUUUACACUGAGGACAUUUUUGCAGAGCGAGCAAAGGACAUAAGGACAGUUGGAUUGUCAGACAGCUAGUUGGUGGUAGUGAAAUAAAAUUAAAAUUUUAACUGAAUUUGAAAAGUUAUCCUCAACUUAAAAUUCCAUUGUGUUUGAAAUAAAAAAAAAAAAUUAAAAGCAGUGACAAACAGUAUAAAAAAUGAUAUAAUCCUCUUUAAUGCAAAUCAAAUACAAGUUACAAGCUUAUAGGCUUAUGUGCCGCUUGUGAAUUCUUAAAAAUAAGUGGAAUUUUUUUUUGUUGUCUUUACCUUUACUCGGAACUUUUUUCGGCAGCAUAGCGCGUUGAAAUAUAAAACAUUGAACUGUACGAGUAUUUAGAACCAGCAAAUGUCGUUGUGAACUACAAUAAAGGCAACAAUUAAAAUGUUUAAACAAUUAUGACAAACGCUACAUAAAAACUAUACAACCUACAGCUUCCCUUUAUCUUCACAAUCCCUAAUUACAUACAAAUUACUCCCUAAAAAAAUACUGUUAAGCAUUUUAUUGAAAA
Ceratitis capitata (Mediterranean fruit fly) is the source of this 588-nucleotide long non-coding RNA. RefSeq lists it as uncharacterized. Lineage: Eukaryota; Metazoa; Arthropoda; Insecta; Diptera; Tephritidae. The transcript has 3 exons. The record is from RefSeq and is a predicted model, not a curated record.